GCUUGUAGAAGUUCGAGGGUCUAUUCGUUCGGACGCGGGUUCAAUUCCCGCCAUCUCCACCU
This 62-nucleotide transfer-messenger RNA is filed under the name Chloroflexi bacterium HGW-Chloroflexi-4. RNAcentral's name for it is "partial transfer-messenger RNA". It matches the Rfam family "transfer-messenger RNA", at positions 312 to 374 of the family's 374-position model. Rfam says of the family: Bacterial tmRNA, also known as 10Sa RNA or SsrA, is named for its dual tRNA and mRNA-like properties. Its role is to liberate the mRNA from a stalled ribosome. The record is from RNAcentral. Lineage: Bacteria; Bacillati; Chloroflexota.